AUUGGAUCACCGAUCGGGACUCAGAGGGACUAAUGUCACCAAAAAUACAGCAAGUUCUGAGCCCCGAACAAUAGUGCAGGCUCCCUAUAUAGGCACAUAACUCCUCCCAUAUUAAGCUCCACCCGCACAUUCUCUUGACCAAUCAUUAUAAAUAAGAAUUAACUUCCUGCUUGACCGCAUGGCUUGUCCAGCACAAUGGAGGAGGGGAAUACUACAUCCUGUAUUCUUGCACAUGCUCCGUACACUACUGAUCG
Molecule: non-coding RNA, 254 nt
Organism: Pelobates cultripes (western spadefoot toad)
Lineage: Eukaryota; Metazoa; Chordata; Amphibia; Anura; Pelobatidae
Source: the annotation of a GenBank genome assembly